This 326-nucleotide long non-coding RNA is filed under the name Lathyrus oleraceus (garden pea). RNAcentral's name for it is "Pisum sativum (pea) long non-coding RNA (PSAT_LNC005048)". Lineage: Eukaryota; Viridiplantae; Streptophyta; Magnoliopsida; Fabales; Fabaceae. The record is from RNAcentral.
GUUUUUCCAUUUGUUUUCACUUUUUGCUUUUUGCAUGAAAUCAGUGAUCACAAAAAAACAUGAAAAACAAAAACAGCUUUUUCAUCUGCAUAAUUGAUUUGCUUGUUUAAAUUCAAAAGCUUUUCAUUAUCCAGAAUCAUUAUGCAGGGAUUUCUAAACCCAUUGAACAUAAUGAUCCAACGCCAUCUCCUAAUCUUGAAGUCCUUGUAUCUGAGGCAGAGGAAGAUGAUGUUGAAGGGGAUUCCUGACGAGAUUAUCCGCCUUCUUGAGCACCAAAGAAGCUCAUUCAGCUGUAUCAUGAGAAUCAGCAAAACAGUCAAACUGGG